RNAcentral lists this transfer RNA (84 nucleotides) under Gemmatimonas sp. RNAcentral's name for it is "tRNA-Leu". It matches the Rfam family "tRNA". Rfam says of the family: Transfer RNA (tRNA) molecules are approximately 80 nucleotides in length. Their secondary structure includes four short double-helical elements and three loops (D, anti-codon, and T loops). Further hydrogen bonds mediate the characteristic L-shaped molecular structure. tRNAs have two regions of fundamental functional importance: the anti-codon, which is responsible for specific mRNA codon recognition, and the 3' end, to which the tRNAs corresponding amino acid is attached (by aminoacyl-tRNA synthetases). tRNAs cope with the degeneracy of the genetic code in two manners: having more than one tRNA (with a specific anti-codon) for a particular amino acid; and 'wobble' base-pairing, i.e. permitting non-standard base-pairing at the 3rd anti-codon position. Lineage: Bacteria; Pseudomonadati; Gemmatimonadota; Gemmatimonadia; Gemmatimonadales; Gemmatimonadaceae. RNAcentral also lists the same sequence under 3 other names. The record is from RNAcentral.
GCCGAAGUGGUGGAAUUGGUAGACGCGCUGCGUUCAGGGCGCAGUGGGCUUACGCCCGUCCGGGUUCGAGUCCCGGCUUCGGCA